Molecule: long non-coding RNA, 1188 nt
Organism: Halichondria panicea
Lineage: Eukaryota; Metazoa; Porifera; Demospongiae; Suberitida; Halichondriidae
Exons: 4
Source: RefSeq, a predicted model, not a curated record
GACCAAUCACUAACAGCCAAGCAGCUGAUUACGAAGCCCGUGUUUCGACAGCAGUACCUCAGCUGUAUUCAAUGCUUGCCUGAUCCCUUCAAAAUGAAUGUACUUUAGGACGUUUUGGAUGAGGGUCUGAGCUUGAGCAAGCUGAAGGACAAGGCUUCAGCAUACUGCUCCAUCAAGGAAGUGAAGAAAGCAUUUUGCCGGUAAUAUAAUUAUUAUGUCAAUGAAUUAUUAUCAGACCAGCUAAUAUAAGUUAAGUUUGCUUAAUUCUCUGUAUGAUUAUAUAGGAUCACCAGUACAACGCGGAGUGAGGCUACACGCCGAUUUCCUGAACAUAUACGUUAUCAGAUUGAACACCUGGACUCCUUUUCCAAACUUGUAAAGGGGAAAAAUACUUUUGGCCUUCACAGCCUGCUGCGAAGGUGCUCUCCAAGCAGAGCAAAACAAAGACGAAAAGUGUCUCGAUGUCUUCACAAAGCACGUCUCUUUGAAGGAGAUUACUGGAAUGUGUAGGACAUCUGUUUGAAGUACAAGACGUAUAUUACGGGUCUACUCUUUUCAUUGCCCACAUUCCAAUGGAAUGGUCUAUAAAGAACCUUGUGUUCACGUGCAAACAAGUCAACACCAUCCCAGAGAAGACCAUGCCAAUGUACAAUAUUGUGCUUAUUGGCAAUCUUGAGCAACAACCAUUGCUUACUGUCAUGCUGAGUGAGCUCUAUGACCGUGUCAGUGCAUGUGUGCUAUUGGCAUACCCAACACCCCAUCACCAAGAGAUUUUCCAAAGCACUGGGGUCUGUUGUGGUCGGCCAUUACUCAAUUAAUGGGAGUUUGUUGAACAAGCACUUCAACCGGCAAGGAGGACAAACAAACCUCUUCAAUGCCGACAAGAACGACUAAUCUACAAAUGAGCCAAGUCAAGUCCCUCUUAGACUGGUAACUGUGCAGUUCCUGCUCUGACAACAAAGAGAGACGUCGUGGUCAUCAAGAAAGACCUAAUGCAGGUUAGGGUUGACCUAAUGGAAAAACUCACAUGCUCUAAACAUCUAGACUAAAGAGUACUGAAAACGUUGCCUAACAUAAUUAUAAGUGUAUUAUUUAACUCCUAACUUUAGUAUCAUUGUUGUCAGCAAAUACUCUUUCAUCAAACUGAGCAAUAUCUUCUUGAUUACAUAAUGGUGAAACAGUGAUAAG